Vitis riparia (riverbank grape) is the source of this 488-nucleotide long non-coding RNA. RefSeq lists it as uncharacterized. The transcript is spliced from 2 exons. Lineage: Eukaryota; Viridiplantae; Streptophyta; Magnoliopsida; Vitales; Vitaceae. The record is from RefSeq and is a predicted model, not a curated record.
UAAAGGACAAGACAGCAUUUUUGUUGUAGUUUCUUGAUACCAAUACUUCCUGCAUUUUCCCAUCUACAUUUCUUUCUCUCCUUAUGAAACUAAAUUAUGCCAUGUUAUCCUAAUUAUGUGGCUUGUUGCUAAACCAACCCUUCCACUGGUCCAUGACAGAGUGCCCUGGGAAACAUGAAAUCACUCUGCCAUGCGGCCAAACCUUCUAGAGUAAUAGCAGGUUUGAAAAAUUGGAGGUUAAUGAAAAAGGAUCAUCAUAUGUGCCAAAUAGAAUGAUACUUGGCAUCCUUAGUCUAAAAUUUUGCGUGCUCUGUUUUUCUUCAUCCAUCUUCUAAGUAUAUGGAUUGAGUAAAUUUAUUGAAAUAUUCGAACUUUCACCUAUAGGUCACUUUUCUUUUGUAGAUGUUUCUACAAACAGACUUUACUUCUCAGGGAGCAAAGUCUGGUUUUAAUUGAAAUGAAGAGGAAAGCUGUCCUCAAAUUUUGUA